ACAAAAUUAUUAACAUAAGCUGCAUUAUAAUUAAGGCAUUUCCGUUCCUUCCUCUCUCAAUCUCUCAUUCGCGUUCUUACCUCUCUCUUCUAAAGCUUCUCAGCUGUAGCGCCGUCGCCACUCCGAUCAUUGCAACCUCCCUCCUCUCCACGGCGCGACGGCAACGACUCAGCUAUUUUCAUCUUGGGCUUAAUAGAUUAAGGUAUCUUCUUCACAAGCAGUUAGAUCUUCUCUUAUCUUCACCCUGGCUGCCCUCAUCGCCAUCUCUGGUAUCUUCAAGCCGUAUUUUUAUUUUUUUGCUUUCCAGAUGGUUUCUCUUUUCUAUCUGAUUCAUCUGCAGGUUAAGCAUGCUCACAGUAAGUCAUAAAUUCAAAAUUAAUCAUUCAAAAUUAAAGUGAAUCUUUUGGAUUUAUUUCAAUUCAAAUGAUUUUGGAACUGCCACAUUGUGCUGCCACCAUGGUCCUUCCGAGCCAAGUCCAUCUCUUCUUCCCUAAUUUUGAAACUGUUUGGAGGCUGAAAAAGGAAUCCCAUUAAUUUUUCCUUUUCAUAGUUACUCUUUCAUUCAGUUACAUCUUGAUUUAUUUAUAUGCUUUCAAGAUAGAAAUUAAUAUCAACAAUUUAUUCCUGUUGCGUGAAUUAAGAUCAGCCAAGAUAUGCUGACCUGCAAUUCAAAUUUGAAUUUGAAUAAUAAAUGUCUCUCUAAUUAUAUUUUGUUUGUUUGCACAGGUACCCGAAUUCAUGCCCCUAGCCAUUAACAUGCUAUUUCAGUUCAAGGCAUGUAUGAAAAAAUGUUGAGUUUCUUUGAAAAUAUAUGAGUUAUGGGAUUUGGCCUUAACAGAUGACAAAGAUUUUGCCUCACCUUUUUUCCUUUAGUGGCUGCACCUGCAGCUGCUAAUUUGACAUGUUACAGGCUGAUAUUCCAUGGUGGCAAAAUAUGAUGAUGAUACCUCAUUUGUAGCAGCCAAAGGUUGUGAUAUUCCAUGGUCUGUUUACAACGUGGGCAUUUUUUGUAAGAACAAGUUUCAUAAAGUAAUUGGUUGCUGGUAGUCCUUAAGAACGUCAACUAUUGGUCAAUGAAAUGCUUGGCACCUCUGAUGAGAAUGAGCCCUUUUACAGGUACCCUUUCAACUCUUAUUGUUCAGGAUUUUAGUUUUACUGAGGUUGGAGAUUGUCUGCUACUCAAACACAUAUAUCAAAUCACUUUUUUGUUUGUUUGGUGGUCUCCCUUCAUGAAGUGAGUACUAAUCACAUGUCCAUAUAGUUCAAGUUCGUUUAUCACUCAUACUUUUAUUCAACUUUGGUUUGAUGGAUGAUGGAUCGGAUCUAUCAUUCUAUCCUCCCCUUUGUUUGAGCAAGUAUUUGAAGAAUACAAUAUACCACCUGAAUCAUCAUAUGAACCAAUAUAUCCGCUUAUAAGAAUAGUUAUGCACAUGCCCUUCUCUGACAUGUGACCUGCCCUGAAAUUGCUUUUCCCAUGGUUUUGUGAAAGUCUCUUGGAUAUAGAUAGCUUUACUUCAUUGCAAUACUGCUGCCCCUGAUUAUUUUUAAAGUGUGAUAUAGAAUUUUUACCAGUAGAAGCAGUGACUGAGUUUGAGCAUUGAGUAUUUGAUGUACCAAUUAUGAGUUCGAGCAUCAUUUAACUUUUCUGGAUAGUGUUUGACAUACAGUCUGUUAUGGACAUCCUUUCUUUGGGCCUUUGUUGCUAGAAAAGUAAGAAUGUAAUACAUUUGGUGAGGUGUUUUCUACUCAUGCCAGUUAAGUAAGCAUGCCAAGUGCAAUGUUCACAAGUCAUAAGCUGAUUUUUCUAUUUGAUAGUCAGCAUAGCAUUCCUUGGAGUUUUCCACUUAGUACUGAAAUUUGAACAGAGACUAGCCAAAACAAGUUUAAUAGUGGAGGGGAAGAAAAGCAAGCUUCAUCACCUGCAAUUUAUAGACAUAAUAAUUAUGUCUGAUUUUAUGCAUGACACUUUGAUAAAGAUGAAGAUAUCUCUGUACAUUUUCUAUUGAUGUAAUUAUAGCCCUUGCUUUAUACUUUUCUAGAAUUUUGCUUAAACUUAUGGUUUGAUUUAGAUUAAUAUAUGAGUGCUACUUUGACAGUUUUAUUUUUUUUUGGUAAAUUUUCAUUAUUUUUUAGUUUUCAUAUCCUUUCCUUUAUCAUCGCAGCUCUCUAACACAAUAUUAAAGAAAUAGCGUUGGACACACUUGCAUGAUGUUCUGGUGUUGUACUUUAAAUAAUAUGUGCACUGAAAAUGAUAAAGACUCUCUAAUUUGAUGUUCUUCAUGGAAUUGAUAACUUAGUAUUGUUUUUUUUUUCUUGAUUAAGUUCUUAUAGCUUUAAGAUUAGUGUCUUGGUUUCAAAUUGACUUUUUCUUCUAUAGAAUUUAUCGAAUAGUUACCAAAAUGAGGUGUCACUUUAUUUGACCCACAAAUUUCCUUUGCUUCCACAGUAGAGACUAAUAUCUUGCCUUGAUUGUGAAUUUAUGAUUUUGAAAAUGAUCAUACUACUUGACAGCAUGACUUUCAACUGAUGCUUAGGUGUUUGGAAGACAGUUAGCCAUCCACCGUUCAUGAAGUGUACUUGGGUUCAAUUUAGUCCAAAUUUCAUACCUGCUCUUAUUAUUAGAUCUCAUAUUAUAACUCAAUGCCAUCUAAUUAAAUGUAUGAUAAAUGUUUUUUAUUACUUACGAAUAUCAUUUUAUGCAAAGUCUGAAGAUCUGUUUUUUCUUUUUGCUCUAAUUCAUUCUCUUUGACGCAUGAUUAUUGAGUUUAACCAACAUUUGGUCUUUUCAGAUUCAUGAGCUAAAUAUGGACACGAAAAUUUCAUUCAAGGCAAAAGCUAGAACCAAAAUGCUAUUGGAAGAUGCUAUCAUAUAAUUGUGUAUUCCUUUUUCUAUAGGUGUGCCUCUAUGUUUAAGUCCCACGGGUUGUCCUGGAGUGAUGAUUUCUUUUCUAGCCUAUAAGCAACAAAAUUUGUGUUUAAGAAAGCUCAACUCUUCAACCCAACAUUUCCUGCCAGCAAAGAGAGGAUGUUUGGUAUCCGCCAAAGAACAAUCGUAAUAGAGAUAUUGGAGCAAGCUGAUAGAAGAGUCUUUUAUUGGGGAGGCGUCUCUUUCUCUUGCGAUGACAUGAGGAUGAAUUUUGUAUGAAAUUGUUGUACAUAUAAAAUGGAGGAUGACUUUCAUUUUUCAUUCAAUAUAGAAAUCAUAUUUAAUUA
Molecule: RNA transcript, 3213 nt
Organism: Lotus japonicus
Lineage: Eukaryota; Viridiplantae; Streptophyta; Magnoliopsida; Fabales; Fabaceae
Exons: 3
Source: RefSeq, a predicted model, not a curated record